Molecule: transfer RNA, 62 nt
Filed under: Sinella curviseta
Lineage: Eukaryota; Metazoa; Arthropoda; Collembola; Entomobryomorpha; Entomobryidae
Description: tRNA-Cys
Source: RNAcentral
ACAAAUAUAUUCAUUAAUGAUUUAAGAUUGCAAAUCUUAAGGUGGGAAAAUCUCUUUUUGUU